This 260-nucleotide ribosomal RNA is filed under the name uncultured bacterium. RNAcentral describes it as "partial 16S ribosomal RNA". It matches the Rfam family "Bacterial small subunit ribosomal RNA", at positions 793 to 1055 of the family's 1533-position model. The record is from RNAcentral.
GUCCACGCCCUAACGAUGUCAACUGGUUGUUGGACGGCUUGCUGUUCAGUAACGAAGCUAACGCGUGAAGUUGACCGCCUGGGGAGUACGGCCGCAAGGUUGAAACUCAAAGGAAUUGACGGGACCCGCACAAGCGGUGGAUGAUGUGGUUUAAUUCGAUGCAACGCGAAACCUUACCUACCCUUGACAUGUCUGGAAUCCUGCAGAGAUGUGGGAGUGCUCGAAAGAGAACCAGAACACAGGUGCUGCAUGGCCGUCGU